Molecule: long non-coding RNA, 212 nt
Filed under: Trifolium pratense (red clover)
Lineage: Eukaryota; Viridiplantae; Streptophyta; Magnoliopsida; Fabales; Fabaceae
Description: long non-coding RNA (TPRA_LNC010039)
Source: RNAcentral
AGAUUGGCCUGCGAGAGGAUCUUGAAGUUUACAGCCACGUUCAGUUUCGUUCUGCAUCGGAGCAAUAAACAAACGACGGGGAAGGAAGAUGAUGCUGUUGGGGUUUUUCAGUGAACAAUCGCACACAUUUUCUUGCAAUUUUUUAUUUUUUUUUAAUUUAUGUAACGGUAAUUAGUUUUUGUGUGGGGGAGGGACUAGGACUUUUGAUUUUA